CCUACGGGAGGCAGCAGUGAGGAAUAUUGGUCAAUGGGCGCGAGCCUGAACCAGCCAAGUAGCGUGAAGGAUGACUGCCCUACGGGUUGUAAACUUCUUUUAUCAAGGAAUAAAGUGAGGCACGCGUGCCUUUUUGUAUGUAUUUUAUGAAUAAGGAUCGGCUAACUCCGUGCCAGCAGCCGCGGUAAUACGGAGGAUCCGAGCGUUAUCCGGAUUUAUUGGGUUUAAAGGGUGCGUAGAUGGGUUGUUAAGUCAGUUGUGAAAGUUUGCGGCUCAACCGUAAAAUGGCAAUUGAUACUGGCAGCCUUGAGUACGGUUGAGGUAGGCGGAAUUCGUGGUGUAGCGGUGAAAUGCUUAGAUAUCACGAAGAACUCCGAUUGCGAAGGCAGCCUACUAGACUGCCACUGACAUUGAUGCUCGAAAGUGUGGGUAUCAAACAGGAUUAGAUACCCUAGUAGUC
Molecule: ribosomal RNA, 460 nt
Filed under: uncultured bacterium
Lineage: Bacteria
Description: partial 16S ribosomal RNA
Rfam family: Bacterial small subunit ribosomal RNA
Source: RNAcentral